GACAACUGGAUCUGAAGCGUAAUGAUGGUCUUCAGAAGGCCUCUCAUGGUGGUCUUGAUUCAGAGGUUUGAGAAGACUACCAAGCACCAGAGCCAGCUAACAGGUGGACCAAACAUCAAGCCAGAAUUCUGCAUGAGUCAGAAUUUAUGUCUUUUGAUAUUAUUGCCUAAUGCAACAAAUGGAAAAAAGCAUACUUUAUGACAACCUUAGCAGCAGAACACCAUGACUUUCUCCUGGGUAGACGAGAAAAAAAGUUUGGUAUCAACACCCAUCUAACAAUUAAGAAAGUUAUCUACAGCCACACAUCCACUGUAUACCAAGUUAUGAUGAUCAAUUAUGAGAAUGCAAAAUGAUUUAUAGAUCAGUAAACAAUCAACAAAAAGAUGGGUGCUCAUGGUGGCCUCCAAAUAAAUACAUGGACAGGCUGCUAAAGAGGGUCAGGAUGAUGGAGAUGCAAGAGCCAAAGACAGCACGGACCAAACACCAGGCCAGAAUUCUGCAUGAGUCAGUUUCCAGCCUUUUUCACAAAGUUGCCGACAACUGGAAGAAUGUCCCAAAUUGCUGAAAAAAGAAAUUCAAUUGAGUAAUUUUCACUCUAGAGACCCUGGGGUGACCACCAAGGACGAAUGAAAACUCCAGUGAGUGUCUCUAAGGUAGAUCCUAAUGCAGAUGGAUGGAAUGUUGAUCCGCCUAACAUGCAAGAUUUUCUGUACCGAGAACUUUGGAUGACCAUCAAGACAAGCACUCGUUUUGAGUCCUGAGACCCUGGGGUGACCACCGUGAACAAAUACAGACUGCAAAAAGGCAGUCUUGACGGUUCUAGGAUGAAUGCAAAUAAAGACUGACCACCUGACUUCAGCGGUCCAGUCUCUUGUGGGAAGCAGGUGUUUGUUACCCCAAAUACGGAUGAAGAGUGACGAAGAGGAUGAUGACUUUUUUCUCAAACAUCAUCUGAAGAUCUUGACAGGCUGGAGACAAAAUUAACAGACUGAGGGUUUAUACAAAGAAUCUUACUCAGCCAAUAUUAAAGAUAAGAUAUUUUUACAAAA
Misgurnus anguillicaudatus (oriental weatherfish) is the source of this 1049-nucleotide non-coding RNA. Lineage: Eukaryota; Metazoa; Chordata; Actinopteri; Cypriniformes; Cobitidae. The record is from RefSeq and is a predicted model, not a curated record.